UACGUAGGGUGCGAGCGUUGUCCGGAAUUAUUGGGCGUAAAGAGCUUGUAGGCGGUUUGUCGCGUCUGCCGUGAAAAUCCGGGGCUCAACCCCGGACUUGCGGUGGGUACGGGCAGACUAGAGUGUGGUAGGGGAGAUUGGAAUUCCUGGUGUAGCGGUGGAAUGCGCAGAUAUCAGGAGGAACACCGAUGGCGAAGGCAGAUCUCUGGGCCGUAACUGACGCUGAGGAGCGAAAGCGUGGGGAGCGAACAGG
RNAcentral lists this ribosomal RNA (253 nucleotides) under uncultured bacterium. RNAcentral's name for it is "partial 16S ribosomal RNA". It matches the Rfam family "Bacterial small subunit ribosomal RNA", at positions 524 to 776 of the family's 1533-position model. The record is from RNAcentral.